RNAcentral lists this ribosomal RNA (486 nucleotides) under uncultured bacterium. RNAcentral's name for it is "partial 16S ribosomal RNA". It matches the Rfam family "Bacterial small subunit ribosomal RNA", at positions 30 to 507 of the family's 1533-position model. The record is from RNAcentral.
AUUGAACGCUGGCGGCAUGCCUUAUACAUGCAAGUCGAACGGCAGCACGGGUGCUUGCAUCUGGUGGCGAGUGGCGAACGGGUGAGUAAUACAUCGGAACAUGCCCCGUAUUGGGGGAUAGCCCGGCGAAAGCCGGAUUAAUACUGCAUACGAUCUACGUAUGAAAGCGGGGGACCUUCGGGCCUCGCGCUUUAGGGUCGGUCGAUGGCUGAUUAGCUAGUUGGUGGGGUAAAGGCCUACCAAGGGCACGACCAGUAGCCGGUCUGAGAAGACGAACAGCCACACCUGGACUGGGACACGGCCCCGACUCCUACGGGAAGGAACCAUGGGGAAAUUUGGCGAAAGGGCGGAAACCUGGUCCAAGAAUGCCGCGUGUGUGAAGGAGGCCUUCGGGUUGGUAAACCCUUUUGACCGGAAAGAAAUCAUUGGCCCUAAUACGGUCGGGGGAUGACGGUACCGGAAGAAGAAGCCCCGGCUAACUACGUG